RNAcentral lists this ribosomal RNA (469 nucleotides) under uncultured bacterium. Its description in RNAcentral is "partial 16S ribosomal RNA". It matches the Rfam family "Bacterial small subunit ribosomal RNA", at positions 28 to 507 of the family's 1533-position model. The record is from RNAcentral.
GACGAACGCUGGCGGCGUGCUUAACACAUGCAAGUCGAACGGAAAGGCCCUGCUUGCAGGGUGCUCGAGUGGCGAACGGGUGAGUAACACGUGGGUGAUCUGCCCCUUAUUUUGGGAUAAGCCUGGGAAACUGGGUCUAAUACUGGAUAGGACCAUGCUGUAGGUGGUGUGGUGGAAAGAUUAGUUUCGGUAAGGGAUGAGCUCGCGGCCUAUCAGCUUGUUGGUGGGGUAAUGGCCUACCAAGGCGUCGACGGGUAGCCGGCCUGAGAGGGUGGACGGCCACAUUGGGACUGCGAUACGGCCCAGACUCCUACGGGCGGCAGCAGUGGGGAAUAUUGCACAAUGGGCGCAAGCCUGAUGCAGCGACGCCGCGUGGGGGAUGACGGCCUUCGGGUUGUAAACUCCUUUCAGCCAUGACGAAGCCCUUGUGGUGACGGUAGUGGUAGAAGAAGCACCGGCUAACUACGUG